UUGAGUUAGGCGCGCAGGACGUCGACUGUACCUGAGACAAGAAAAGUGAACCAUUAUAUAAAGAAUGUGACACCGCGACGAAAAAUAGUCGAUGUGACCAAAGGAACUCCGUGGUUGAUGCCCCCUUAUGACUGUUUGGGGGAAGCUUUAGGGUUAAGCUCCAGUCAUAAAACUAAGCAUCAAGUUGGAAUUGAUUAGGUCUUCAACCUAAUUUACUAACAGUGCUUCCAUGAACAACCUGAGAUGGGCGUUCUUGAUUCUUUUUUGCUCAUUAGGUUAUUGCAGUGGUCAGAGAACUACCUUACUCUGGGUUAGAUGAAAUAGAUUUAGUAAAGGGAAAGAUGGAACAGUAGGUUAAGGGAAGAGUAUUGUGGGAGGAGGUGUAAGGGGGAUAGAGGUGUCAUAAGGAACUUGUGUUGAUAGGGUGGUUCAAGGUAUUGGAUCAUAUGAAGUUUAGCACCCAUAGUUAUUCCACCUAAUCAUUAAACACCUUAAACCUAGUUAAACCUAACUUAAUCUCCCGCAGGUAGUGUUAUUUUGUUUCAUCGUGAGGUGAAAUGAGCUAGGGAGGGUUUAAUCUUCCGAGGAUUUAAGAUAUUCAUUUGUAAUUAUCAUCUUUUCUUUUGUGUAUGGAAAUUUGGCAAUUAUAGAAAAGAAUAAACAUUGAAUAUUUCUGAGACUUGGGUCACUGUUGUAUGUCGGAGAAGAACGCGAUGUUUUUGUGGUAAUAAUCUCAAAGUAUUACGUUGUGUACCUGAUUUGUUUCACUGAUGUGUUAUUUUCAUUAAUAUGUGACUUUGUUCAUAUAGAGUUUUGUGUAAUAUUUGAUUUUACAUAGAGUAGAUUCCAGGUCAAAUGGACCCCACAUGACCUGACCAUUAGGACUCGACCGCAGUCUAAAUGGUUAGGUGACGGAUAAGAUUGUAAUCCAUUUGGCAAUUUGCUCUAUAAAACCCAUUAUGUAUUGUCAGAGUUUUCCCCAAGUUUAUUUUGGUUCAUUCUAAUUUAAAACCGUCGACUCUCCCAGAACUUUUCAUAUAUGUAUAAGGUAAAAGAUGUGAUCAAUCGGCGAUGUACACAGAUGCGUUCUUUGGUAUAUUGGAUAGCAUGUAAGGAGGUUCCAAUACUUAAUGCUUUUGUUUAUUGGAACCUGAAGUGGGGUGUGUCGAGGAUAUUGGUUGUGUCUGUAAAGGUUGUCAACGGUCUAUUACUUGAGCUGAGUUUUUUAAAUUUAUUGUAUGGUAUGUACAGUAUUUUCUUAAGAGAAUGAAGUGUAUUGUCUUAUUUUUAAAUAAUCAAGCUAAGUUCAUAUAAAAUUCAAGAAAAUUAAGCUUACUGUAUCUACUUUUCAAACAAUUAAGCUGAGUUCACUUAAUCCCCAUGCAGAAUUAAGCUUAUUGUAUCUAAUUUUCAAACAAUUAAGCUGAGUUCAAUUAAUCCCUUUGCAGAAUUAUUGUCUCUAAUUUCCAAACAGAAUAAUCUGAUAUGUGUCACAACUUUUCAUAAGCUUUACAUAAAAUAUGUUUUGAGAGAAAGAUUAUUUGUAUAUGAGUAAUUGAGGAAAGCUGGAACCAGGGAGUACGAUUUUUUAAGCUGUCCGUCAAGCUUGUUUGGUGUUUAAUAUCGUCCCUGUUAGUAUUUUUUAUGGAAGAUCCUCAGUGUUAAAGCUUUCCAAUAUUGAUAUAUGUCUGAUAGAAAUUUUUUUUUUUUGAGAAGUUGUUGUUCAUGAAAUUGGGAUGAUCUGUUCUUGGUACUGUAUUGGACUGGACAAAAUUGAGAUGAUGUGUUGUGGGUACUGGACAAAAAUUGAGGUGGUGUAUUCUGGGUAUUGGACAAAACUGCAUAAUGAAAUAGAAAUGGUGUUCCUGAGUGACACUGCAAGAAUUAUAAUACCCCACCAAUAGACUGUUUAGGGUCAUGUAGGACUGUGUUAGUCGUGUCCGUCUGUACAAAAAUUUGUUACCAAUCAUCACCUUGUGGCAGGUUUUGAAGAUAAAGUGAAUGGCUCAUGUGAAGAUUAGCAACCCCAGUUAACAGUACAGGAUUACCAUUGAUUAUACCCUGAUACUAACCUAACCUAUCCUAUCCUAUCCUGUCCUAACCUUAUCUAACCUCAACUUCACAUAUCCUAAACCUAAUCUGUAUAUGAGAUACUCAGAAUGUACAGUACUUUAUGAAUCACUGGUAAGGUAAAUAAUAACUAUUCAGGUACUGGAAUAUAUGUGAGGUGGAUAAUGACGUCCGUAAUAUUCAGAAGAAAAUAUAAGUGACGUAAGAGAUAUUCUGCGAGUCUUUAUUUGUUUAUAUCUGCCCGUCUACUUAUGUGUCUCUCUCUCACCAAGUUGGAAUAUGUCUUUCCUUCCAAUUGGCUGCCAUACAUUUGUGUGUGAACUAAUGGACACCGUGUACAUGUGUGUGUGUGUGUGUGGGGAGGGGGGGUUUGUCCUUCCUCGCCCAAUUCCUGUAAGCUUGAUAUAGUGUUUUAAAUUCAGCUAGGAUUAAACUUGAUAAGAAUGUUUGGAUCACCUGAAUAUUAGACACCCCAGUUAUGUGGGUCUUAUUCCUUUGUGGUACAUACUAUGAAUCAUUUCCCAUCACUUUCCUUCUCAUUUCGUCUCGUUGUUGGGGGAUUGUGGGGCCCCUUGAUCCACGCCACAUGGGAGAGGAGUCUGUUUAUUGGUUGGUAGACUAUGAUAACACAAGACCUUAGAAUGUUGCUGGUAAUUGAUGUAUUUGUGUCAUGAGAUGUUAUGUUUAAGAUGCCAAAUCAAAUUAAGAUUAGCUCCCAGAUUAUUUCACUGGAAGAUAAAUCACCGUAAUGCUAACCUAACGUAACAUACCAGUAAUGAAACCUAAUUCAACUUAACAUAAUUUGACAUAAUAUUUCCCAGUCUACCCCCAGAUAAUAUUAAUGUGUUUAAUCAUCAGGUGAAAUAAUCUGGGUGACUAAUCUUCAUGUGAACCAAAAUACCUGUUGUGCAGUGAGAAUAUAUAUACAGUACCUUGUUGAGCUGUACCAUUCCUUUAAGUAUGUGAUAAACUAAUUGAUAUCAUAAAUUAAUUUGUCUUCUGAUAUAAACUCUUCCUUUUGACAGUCGAGGCAAGAUGCAGUGAGUCUUUUAAGAGUGUGUUGUCUUGCCUUGUAAAUUGUGGCACUGUUGAUUGUGUGUGGUAAUGUAAGACCCCCAGCGUUAACCACACACUACAGCACAGUGAGAUAUGCAGCGGUCACACAGGAGGACGGAUUACCCAUUCUCUGAUUAUUCACCCACCACUCUUGUUGGUUUAGCAUCUUGGUGAAAAAUGAUUAGGAUUUCUUAUAUACUGUCCACCUGGUGUCAGUUGCCAUGUUUGUAUUACUAAGGAAUGACUGUGAGGGUACCUGUGUCAUCUGGCUCCAUGACACCCCUCCUGUGGUGAUCGCUGGAUGUGGUAUUUGUUGGAUAAGAAGCGGAAUUUUUUUUUAGAAUAACUUGUAGUUUUAUCUUCAAUGUAAGAGGCAAAUUAUUUUUUAUGCUGUGGCUUUUAUAUCUGUAGUGGUUAUGUGUGUAAGGUACAGUAGUACAAACUAUUGAUUCAUUGGGUCACCUGUAGAUUAAUCCACACCCUAAUGCUAACCUCACCUCACCUAAUCUCGUCUCACCUAACCUCACCUCGCCUAACCUCGUCUCACCUCACCUAACCCCUUGAGGUAGCAUUAGAGUGUUUAAUCAUCUGGUAAAUUAUGCUGGGGGCUAAACUACAGGUGAUCCAAUUUAUUUUUAAAUUACCAUGAUACAAGCUGAAAGGUUCUCAGUACUUAAGUUGGUUACAUGUCAAGUAGUUCCCAAACCUAACCUAACCCAACCUUUAGCAUAUGGGCCAAUUAGAAUUAAGGGAUAAAGAACUCGCACCCAUUAGUAUUGGGCCUCACUCAUUGGGUUGGGCUGGGACUCAGUAGCUUUAGCCCACUUGACUCGUUACCUGUUGAGAUAUCUUAGACUUAGAGAUAUUAUUAAAGUGGAUUUUCAGUCACUAGUUAAAUUAAUUAUUCAAAUUUGUUAUCAUCUUGGAUCACCCGAUGAUUAAACACCUUAACACUACCUGGAGGGGUUAGCGUCAGGGGUCAUUUGAACAGUGCGUGUCAUAAACUAGGGUACAUAAUCAUCAGGUGACCCAAUAUCUUAUUCCUCUGGGUAAAAGUAUUGUAAAUCCUUCCUUAAUUAAAUCGCAUGAUAAUCUAACUUUAUUCUGGCAUAGUAAAUCAAGACCGGGAUAUACUGCACACAGAGGCUGACUCGCACAUCCUCAUGACAGUUCACUCUGGUUGGUAAGAUAAAUUACAUGACCUAUAGAUUAGUGCCCCCAGAUUAUUUCACCACGAUUAAACACCAUAACACUACCUGGGGGGUUAGGUAGAGUGGUUAAUCGUAAGGUGAAAUAAACUGGAAUGCUUAAUCUUCAAUGACUGAUACAUUAUCAGUUCUUGUAGUGCACAUUUUCUCAACGAUUUUCUUAAAGGAAAUUAUUUUGCUCAAUUAAAUGUUAAUACUGUAUAAGGGUUAACAUUAGACCCCCAGCUUAUUUCACCUUUAGAUUAACGACCCUGAUGCUACCCUAAACUAACUCAAUCACCAGGUAGCGAGCCAAAUGCUGACCUAACCCCUCCUCAGGUAGCAAUAGUGUGGUUAUCAUCAGUGGAAAUAAGUUGUCCAUAUGCGAGUCAUACAGGUGUUUAAUAAUAACAUUCAACAUUUAUAUCAACGCUUUAACAUUGAGACAAAGAUUUAUGAAGGAUAGAAAUUAAUUAAUAGUGUGUAAUGACUUAAUUGGGUAAUAGAGUAUCGUCAUUAUGUUCUUUUGUUAAUAAUUCCAACACCUUGAAGUGGAAUUAUUGUAAACUAUGAUGUGAAAUUAUAUUGACUUUGGAA
This is a long non-coding RNA of Homarus americanus (American lobster), 4910 nucleotides long. RefSeq lists it as uncharacterized. The transcript has 2 exons. The record is from RefSeq and is a predicted model, not a curated record. NCBI's taxonomy places the organism in Eukaryota, Metazoa, Arthropoda, Malacostraca, Decapoda, Nephropidae.